Molecule: ribosomal RNA, 427 nt
Filed under: uncultured Roseburia sp.
Lineage: Bacteria; Bacillati; Bacillota; Clostridia; Lachnospirales; Lachnospiraceae
Description: bacterial SSU rRNA
Rfam family: Bacterial small subunit ribosomal RNA
Source: RNAcentral
UGAGGGAAUAUUUGGGGUCAAUGGACGAAAGUCUGAACCAGCCAUGCCGCGUGAGCGAAGAAGUAUUUCGGUAUGUAAAGCUCUAUCAGCAGGGAAGAAGAAUGACGGUACCUGACUAAGAAGCACCGGCUAAAUACGUGCCAGCAGCCGCGGUAAUACGUAUGGUGCAAGCGUUAUCCGGAUUUACUGGGUGUAAAGGGAGCGCAGGCGGUGCGGCAAGUCUGAUGUGAAAGCCCGGGGCUCAACCCCGGUACUGCAUUGGAAACUGUCGUACUAGAGUGUCGGAGGGGUAAGUGGAAUUCCUAGUGUAGCGGUGAAAUGCGUAGAUAUUAGGAGGAACACCAGUGGCGAAGGCGGCUUACUGGACGAUCACUGACGCUGAGGCUCGAAAGCGUGGGGAGCAAACAGGAUUAGAUACCCUGGUAGU